RNAcentral lists this long non-coding RNA (434 nucleotides) under Sorghum bicolor (sorghum). RNAcentral describes it as "long non-coding RNA (SBIC_LNC015896)". The record is from RNAcentral. Lineage: Eukaryota; Viridiplantae; Streptophyta; Magnoliopsida; Poales; Poaceae.
ACCUGUAAGUGUUCGACUUACGUAUUUUUGGACUCCUCUUUGAUUUUUUUUUUUUUUGAAAUUUGACUUUUGUUCCUGUAGUGCGGCGUCGGAUGUCGACCCCGGCCAGGUUGCCAGCCAAGGGAUGGGCGAGCCUGCCCGCGGUUCUGGGGAUGCGGCCCCCCAGACCACAGAGCAGCCAACAGCUGCAGUCGCGCCUGGGAGCACCGAGGGGCUCCCGAGCGGGGCACCGACUACGACAAGAAGCCCGACCAGGGCUGGAGAGGCUCCCCCAACUGGCUCCUCAGAGAAGGGAAGAUCUCCGACCGCUCCUCCUGCCGGGGGGAGUGAAGUCCCCACGCCGCCCCGAGCAGGAGCCUCCUCUGCUGCGGGAUCCCCAGGUCUGGUCCAAGGGCCAGUAAUACCUGGGACCACCACCGGGGGUGAUGCAGCAC